This 465-nucleotide ribosomal RNA is filed under the name Vreelandella stevensii. RNAcentral's name for it is "partial 16S ribosomal RNA". It matches the Rfam family "Bacterial small subunit ribosomal RNA", at positions 338 to 795 of the family's 1533-position model. The record is from RNAcentral. Lineage: Bacteria; Pseudomonadati; Pseudomonadota; Gammaproteobacteria; Oceanospirillales; Halomonadaceae.
CCUACGGGAGGCUGCAGUGGGGAAUAUUGGACAAUGGGGGGAACCCUGAUCCAGCCAUGCCGCGUGUGUGAAGAAGGCCCUCGGGUUGUAAAGCACUUUCAGUGAGGAAGAACGCCUGGUGGUUAAUACCCAUCAGGAAAGACAUCACUCACAGAAGAAGCACCGGCUAACUCCGUGCCAGCAGCCGCGGUAAUACGGAGGGUGCGAGCGUUAAUCGGAAUUACUGGGCGUAAAGCGCGCGUAGGUGGCUUGAUAAGCCGGUUGUGAAAGCCCCGGGCUCAACCUGGGAACGGCAUCCGGAACUGUCAAGCUAGAGUGCAGGAGAGGAAGGUAGAAUUCCCGGUGUAGCGGUGAAAUGCGUAGAGAUCGGGAGGAAUACCAGUGGCGAAGGCGGUCUUCUGGACUGACACUGACACUGAGGUGCGAAAGCGUGGGUAGCAAACAGGAUUAGAUACCCCAGUAGUC